This 414-nucleotide unclassified non-coding RNA is filed under the name uncultured fungus. Its description in RNAcentral is "partial internal transcribed spacer 1". The record is from RNAcentral. Lineage: Eukaryota; Fungi.
UCUCUCCAUUAUGUGGGAUACGCCGUGGCAACCGAUUCGCGAAUCGGCGGCGCUGUUGCGCUACUGGCAGGCGGAUCUGGCGCGCGAAGCGCUGUUCUGGCAUAUCCAGCAAGAGCUUACUAAAAAUAACGCGAAAGAUAUUGGUCUGGGGUUUGACUGCCGGGUUAUGUUUCUGCGCGCGCAGUGCGCCAUCAACAUUGAAUCACCUAAUGAUAAGCUCAAUACCAAUUUGAGCCUGGUGGCGAAUGAACUGGCGAAAGUACGCGACAAGGGUUUGUCGGAAGAGGAGUUUACUGCGCUGGUGGCGCAGAAAAAUCUCGAAUUGCAAAAGCUGUUCGCGACCUACGCGCGUACCGAUACUGACAUUUUGACUGGACAGCGUAUGCGCUCGCUGCAGAAUCAGGUGGUGGAUAU